AACUGAACUGUAGCUUAGUGGUAGAGAAUUGGCCUUGCAUGCCAAAGGCACCUGGUUCAAUCCCCUGUAUCUCCAGGUAGGGUUC
Non-coding RNA from Podarcis lilfordi (Lilford's wall lizard), 85 nucleotides. The record is from the annotation of a GenBank genome assembly. Lineage: Eukaryota; Metazoa; Chordata; Lepidosauria; Squamata; Lacertidae.